RNAcentral lists this long non-coding RNA (280 nucleotides) under Gossypium raimondii (Peruvian cotton). RNAcentral's name for it is "long non-coding RNA (GRAI_LNC006251)". Lineage: Eukaryota; Viridiplantae; Streptophyta; Magnoliopsida; Malvales; Malvaceae. The record is from RNAcentral.
UGAUAAUUUUUGCUUCAGUUGACUAAGAGAGUUUGGGUGGAGUUAAAAGUCUAAGCUAGUUAGAUGUGGUUAGUGGGUAGGAUAUUGGGGGAUUAGGUUGUUAAUGAAUGAGGAGGAGAGUUAAUCUAAAUUUGUAUUUUAUUUUAUUUUUUCCUAUUCUCUCUUUCAAAUUUUUUUUACGUAAGUUUUUGCCUUCUUCCAUUCUUCUCUUUUUUUUUCUAUUUCCCCUUUUCAAAUCUGUACUCCCCUUUGGUUCUUCAUGUGCACUUCGAAAUUUUGA